AUCUUUCUAACUGAUCGAUCCAUACUCACUUGCGUGCACCUAGCCUAGGAAGGUUUCCUUGGGCUUCCCAUCUUUCUACUGAUCGAUCCAUACUCACUUGCGUGCACCUAGCCUAGGAAGGUUUCCUUGGGCUUCCCAUCUUUCUACUGAUCGAUCCAUACUCACUUGCGUGCACCUAGCCUAGGAAGGUUUCCUUGGGCUUCCCAUCUUUCUACUGAUCGAUCCAUACUCACUUGCGUGCACCUAGCCUAGGAAGGUUUCCUUGGGCUUCCCAUCUUUCUACUGAUCGAUCCAUACUCACUUGCGUGCACCUAGCCUAGGAAGGUUUCCUUGGGCUUCCCAUCUUUCUACUGAUCGAUCCAUACUCACUUGCGUGCACCUAGCCUAGGAAGGGUUUCCCUUUGGUACCGACUUCCAUCUACGCACUCGAUAUAACCUAGGUACUUGGUACCGAUGAUGGUUAUACACUCAAGCAUUUCUUGCAUCCAGCGUGCAAGGUACCAAUUUUCACUUCUUAGGUACGUUUAUGGGCCCGCAUUUAUCCAAUAUCGCUCCGAUGGCCUUUCGCAUUAUUUCAUCCGAUAGCCCUUGCCAAAAGCUACCAAAAGUUCCUCCACGGCCAUGUGCUCCGACGCUUAGUUUAGGAAAUAUUCGAAAAAAUUCAAAAUAGGAAGCAUUUUCUUAUUGGAAAAUCACCUUAAAUCGAUGGCCAUUUUUGGGCAAAAACUUUAACGUCUUCCCGACUUUGCGGGAAUUGCGAAUUUUAGGCACCCAGAGAAAAUCUUUUACUUUAAGGGGGCGGCCGCGAAGUUGCCCAAAGUCUCGGACACAAAAAUUCUCAAGUUCCCCACUCUAGUAAAUCGCCCUAUGAGUAUCUCCUGGCCCGCGAGCUCUGCGAGCGGGCCAGCUUCGGCGAUUUUCUGCCUUUUCGCCUAGGCGGUUCAUCUACG
Long non-coding RNA from Anopheles funestus (African malaria mosquito), 950 nucleotides. RefSeq lists it as uncharacterized. Lineage: Eukaryota; Metazoa; Arthropoda; Insecta; Diptera; Culicidae. The transcript has 4 exons. The record is from RefSeq and is a predicted model, not a curated record.